Molecule: long non-coding RNA, 1051 nt
Filed under: Coturnix japonica (Japanese quail)
Lineage: Eukaryota; Metazoa; Chordata; Aves; Galliformes; Phasianidae
Description: lncRNA (ENSCJPG00005006051.1)
Source: RNAcentral
AUGAAUUUUUUUUCAACUUCCUUUCAUUUGUCCUGUUUCCUGCAGAUAUUUAGCUUGUCUGUUUCCUCUUUCUACCUUCAUACAUCAUCAAGAAGGAUUUGGUGGCAGUUACUGAAUUUGAUGAAUCUGACUGAAAUUUCUUUUCUGGGUUGUGUGUUACAGGGGUUGCUUGAGGAGGUAUAUAUGAAUGGACUGCUGGCCUUGUUUUCAGUGGGGAACGUGUAGAAAGACCACAGAGGUUAGGAUAAGAAGGAUUUCUGCAUGUUAAACAUUUUCUGUCACACAAUGGGGAUAAUUUUGUGUCUAAGAUCUCCAGUUUCCAGUGGUAGGUGGUGGAGGAAAUUCUUUGCUCCUUUUCUUAAUGGACACCCUAGCUGUGCGUUGGUGAUUAUUUUUUUCCUUAAGCUAAAAGGCAAAAUUGAGAGUGUCAGAGGGUGAAGUACUAACCUGCUUUACAUUACUGCAAGUUGUUGCUAUUGAUCUUGUGCUGGUUAUGGUAGUUUUUUAUCCUUGUUCUAUAGUUUUCCAAUUUCUCUCUCUUUUGCAGCUCUUACCUCCCAGCUGUGCUCAAUUUUACAUCAGUCCUGGAAAAAACUUGUCAAACAGAGUCUACAUUUUGCUUUCCUAAAUUCAUAUCUGUGUGCUCCAGCUUUCCAAAGAAUCUUUUCUGUUUGCUCCAUGAUUUAGUCCUUUCUGUGACUUUCUGAGAAGCAGUGGAAAGGCAAACUAUCAUUGCAGACCAUUUGCCUGUCUGGCAAGGGAAAUGGCGUGAUUUAAAUGUGGCUGAGCUAAAGCAAUACUAAAACCUCCAGGAAAAUUCUAACAUUUGUUCGGAUGUUUUUGUUUAUUUUUGGAGUUGUGGAAUAUCCAUGAUUGUCAAUGCUUUGACCUUCACUUUGAAGAAUGUCAUAUUUGUGCCAGCAAACUCAACUGUCAAUAUUUUCAUUUCACACAUCCUUAUAGAAGUUCAUAACUGAUCUAUAAAAUUACACAUACUGAGCAUAUGUAGUCACAGGUAGGAAAGGAUUUAAUAAAUAAAUACAUUAAUACA